GAUGAACGCUGGCGGCGUGCUUAACACAUGCAAGUCGAACGAAGCACUUUAUUUGAUUUCCUUCGGGACUGAUUAUUUUGUGACUGAGUGGCGGACGGGUGAGUAACGCGUGGGUAACCUGCCUUGUACAGGGGGAUAACAGUUGGAAACGGCUGCUUAUACCGCAUAAGCGCACGGCAUCGCAUGAUGCAGUGUGAAAAACUCCGGUGGUAUAAGAUGGACCCGCGUUGGAUUAGCUAGUUGGUGAGGUAACGGCCCACCAAGGCGACGAUCCAUAGCCGACCUGAGAGGGUGACCGGACACAUUGGGACUGAGACACGGCCCAAACUCCUACGGGAGGCAGCAGUGGGGAAUAUUGCACAAUGGGCGAAAGCCUGAUGCAGCGACGCCGCGUGAGCGAAGAAGUAUUUCGGUAUGUAAAGCUCUAUCAGCAGGGAAGAUAAUGACGGUACCUGACUAAGAAGCACCGGCUAAAUACGUG
Molecule: ribosomal RNA, 481 nt
Filed under: uncultured bacterium
Lineage: Bacteria
Description: partial 16S ribosomal RNA
Rfam family: Bacterial small subunit ribosomal RNA
Source: RNAcentral